This is a non-coding RNA of Punica granatum (pomegranate), 1122 nucleotides long. The record is from RefSeq and is a predicted model, not a curated record. Lineage: Eukaryota; Viridiplantae; Streptophyta; Magnoliopsida; Myrtales; Lythraceae.
GCUUCUCCUUUGUCUGAGCUCGUCAGCAAGCAAGGAGCCUUGAAGGGAGGGAGACUGCGAGUACAAUCCGCCGCCGUCCGAGCUCAUCAGCUAGCAAGCAAGCAGGCGGGAAGGGAAGGAGACUGCGAGUAUAGUACGCUACCGUCCGUCCCGUGACCGGUUGUGAUUGCCAAUUAACAGAGUUCGGGCCAGUUGUCAUUGUUAAGCUCCGAGGAAGUGACCCAGCAGCUGGCACAGUUGAGAUAUGGACACGCACAUAGUUCGUCUCGAGGUGGACCGUAUCACGAAGAGGCACCACCAGCUUUGGGAUGAGGAGUUAGACAUUUUUUUCUCAUCAUAUAAGGUCUUAGUUAUCAUUGGUAUCAGUAUGUAUGUCUACAUGCAUCUGAUUGUGCAUAGCGAGACUUUCAUUCCCCGAUACUACUUAGGGCUUGGCCCCAGCCUACCUACAGCUUGCCUCGUGGCUCUAGUUACGGGGAUCUACCUUCUUUUCUGUUGGAUGAUGGUCCGUAAUGAAGAUCACACCAAGAAGACCCAUGCUUUAUGUAGGAGGCUGAGGAGCUUGAAACAAGAAGCGAUAGAUUUGUGUGAGUCCUACUCAAACUCUCCAGAUAUGACUGCGCGUUAUUCUAUAUACAGACUCUCGUUUGUUCGAGAUCUCAUUGAUCCAGAUCGAGUCCGGGACGAGUUUGCAUCUCACUGCCGAACUUCGCUCUGGAUGCUCGCUCUUUAUUCUUUAUCACUGAUCACGUGGGCGAUGCUUUUGUUAUAUGAAAUUCGUAUUUUUUCAUAGGUGUCCCUUAAUGUUCCUUCUACCUGAUGAGGGGUAUAUAGUGCCAACCGUUAGAUAAAGUACAGAUUAAUCAUGCGGCAAAUCCAUUUUGAAGGAUAGGCAAUUGGAGUACGUUGUUGUAGGCCCGCUUGGCUUCGGAGCUGAUCCUACGUAAAUCUGGUCAUUUUAUAGUUAGGUUGGGUUGAAACAUCUGUUAUAUGUCCUGAAAAUGAUCCUUUGAACCAAUGACUUAGAAAAAGCAUUUUGACUUGUAAUUAUGGUUUUGGUGGAUUGCAUCUGAUAUUGUCAACUUAUAUAUUGAAAAGGAGAUUUCAACUCCUUUAUUGGCA